Molecule: ribosomal RNA, 501 nt
Filed under: uncultured bacterium
Lineage: Bacteria
Description: bacterial SSU rRNA
Rfam family: Bacterial small subunit ribosomal RNA
Source: RNAcentral
UGGGGAAUCUUGGACAAUGGGGGCAACCCUGAUCCAGCCAUGCCGCGUGAGUGAUGAAGGCCUUAGGGUCGUAAAGCUCUUUCGCCUGUGAAGAUAAUGACGGUAGCAGGUAAAGAAACCCCGGCUAACUCCGUGCCAGCAGCCGCGGUAAUACGGAGGGGGUUAGCGUUGUUCGGAAUUACUGGGCGUAAAGCGCACGUAGGCGGACCAGAAAGUUGGGGGUGAAAUCCCGGGGGCUCAACCCCGGAACUGCCUCCAAAACUAUUGGUCUAGAGUUCGAGAGAGGUGAGUGGAAUUCCAAGUGUAGAGGUGAAAUUCGUAGAUAUUUGGAGGAACACCAGUGGCGAAGGCGGCUCACUGGCUCGAUACUGACGCUGAGGUGCGAAAAGUGUGGGGAGCAAAACAGGAUUAGAUACCCUGGUAGUCCACACCGUAAAACGAUGAAUGCCAGUCGUCGGAUAGCAUGCUAUUCGGUGACACACCUAACGGAUUAAGCAUUCC